RNAcentral lists this non-coding RNA (38 nucleotides) under uncultured Massilistercora sp. RNAcentral describes it as "Selenocysteine insertion sequence 4". It matches the Rfam family "Selenocysteine insertion sequence 4". The record is from RNAcentral. Lineage: Bacteria; Bacillati; Bacillota; Clostridia; Eubacteriales.
GGGACCUGUACUCGUUGCGGUGCAACGAUGGUCAAAGA